CCUACGGGUGGCAGCAGUAGGGAAUUUUCGUCAAUGGGCGCAAGCCUGAACGAGCAAUGCCGCGUGAACGAGGAAGGUCUUCGGAUCGUAAAGUUCUGUUGAAGGGGAAAAAGAGCGGAGAGAGGAAAUGCUUUCUGAUUGAUAUUACCCUUCGAGGAAGUCACGGCUAACUACGUGCCAGCAGCCGCGGUAAUACGUAGGUGGCGAGCGUUAUCCGGAAUGAUUGGGCGUAAAGGGUGCGUAGGCGGCCUGCUACGUCUGGGGUGAAAGGUACCGGCUCAACCGGUACAGGCGCUGGAAACUGGCGGGCUAGAGAGCAGGAGAGGGCGGUGGAACUCCAUGUGUAGCGGUAAAAUGCGUAGAUAUAUGGAAGAACACCAGUGGCGAAGGCGGCUUACUGGACUGUAACUGACGUUGAGGCUCGAAAGCGUGGGGAGCAAACAGGAUUAGAUACCCCUGUAGUC
RNAcentral lists this ribosomal RNA (464 nucleotides) under uncultured bacterium. RNAcentral describes it as "partial 16S ribosomal RNA". It matches the Rfam family "Bacterial small subunit ribosomal RNA", at positions 338 to 795 of the family's 1533-position model. The record is from RNAcentral.